GGAGAAUCUUGGGCAGGGAUUGUAUAUGUUAUAUCAUAUUCUGAGUAAAUCUUUUAUAUACGCAAGCUACUGAUUCUGCAUCUCGCUACAAUCAUUUCGAACAACAUCGAUCGAAAGUAAAAAGCUCUGAUAUGAAGUUUUAGCUUCGAUCAUAGAAAGAAAAAACAAAGUAAUUUUUAGCUUCUAUCAUAGAAAGAAAAAACAAAGUAAUUUGAUAAGGGGUAUAAUUAUUGCUUCUAACUAUAUUUCAUCAAAUAA
Molecule: long non-coding RNA, 258 nt
Filed under: Ananas comosus (pineapple)
Lineage: Eukaryota; Viridiplantae; Streptophyta; Magnoliopsida; Poales; Bromeliaceae
Description: long non-coding RNA (ACOM_LNC028902)
Source: RNAcentral